AUUGAACGCUGGCGGCAGGCUUAACACAUGCAAGUCGAGCGCGCGGCGGACGGGUGAGUAAUGUCUGGGAAACUGCCUGAUGGAGGGGGAUAACUACUGGAAACGGUAGCUAAUACCGCAUACCAUCAGAUGUGCCCUGAUGGGCUUAGCUAGUAGGUGGGGUAAUGGCUCACCUAGGCGACGAUCCCUAGCUGGUCUGAGAGGAUGACCAGCCACACUGGAACUGAGACACGGUCCAGAUUCCGACGGUAGGCAGCAGGGGGGAAUAUUGCACAAUGGGCGCAAGCCUGAUGCAGCCAUGCCGCGUGUGUGAAGAAGGCCUUCGGGUUGUAAAGCACUUUCAUCGAGGAGGCGUUACUCGCAGAAGAAGCACCGGCUAACUCCGUGCCAGCAGCCGCGGUAAUUC
Molecule: ribosomal RNA, 406 nt
Filed under: uncultured bacterium
Lineage: Bacteria
Description: partial 16S ribosomal RNA
Rfam family: Bacterial small subunit ribosomal RNA
Source: RNAcentral